UAUGAUUCCACCCUGGAUUAUUAGGAAACUAAGAACCUUCGUCGCUGGUUUCUCUAUUUUGGAAAUCAAUGAAAUACGUCUCUGUGUCUCUGCCUAUGUUGAAAACCAGAAAGCCCCAGAAGCUUCUCAGAGGCCAGGAGAAGCCAACAAUCCAUGCCUGUAGGAACACAGUGAUGCCAGAAGCAUGAAGUUGUCUGACUUUUCCCAUUUCACUCCUUGGGAGGUUGCAACCUGGAACUCUAUGGGAAAGCAGUGCAGUACUGCCUGCCAAUGCCCAGAGCUGGUUCUGGAAGCCCGGGAUCCACACUAGACUGUGAGACACACUGGAACUGGGUCCAGACGAUUCAGUCCAGACUAAGGCAUGCCUGGAGUAAAGCAGAAGUCCGCUCUCCAGAGUGUGGUAAAAGUUUUCAUUAGACUCUGCCGAAAUUUCCAGUUGAAACUGAGCGUCUAAAGGAUUCAUCAGUCUUCCUCUCUUCCCAAG
This is a long non-coding RNA of Bos taurus (domestic cattle), 484 nucleotides long. NCBI's taxonomy places the organism in Eukaryota, Metazoa, Chordata, Mammalia, Artiodactyla, Bovidae. The record is from Ensembl.